This 76-nucleotide transfer RNA is filed under the name Lepus hainanus (Hainan hare). RNAcentral describes it as "tRNA-Gln". It matches the Rfam family "tRNA". From Rfam's summary of the family: Transfer RNA (tRNA) molecules are approximately 80 nucleotides in length. Their secondary structure includes four short double-helical elements and three loops (D, anti-codon, and T loops). The record is from RNAcentral. Lineage: Eukaryota; Metazoa; Chordata; Mammalia; Lagomorpha; Leporidae.
GUUUUAGAGUUUGGUGUAUUUGGUAGCACGAAGAAUUUUGAGUUCUUAGGAGUAGGUUCAAGGCCUAUAGUUCUAG